CUGACACCUCAUUUGGAUGUGAGUUGGUGAAAGGAGGCAGCGAGAGUCCUGCUGAGCAUUAGGGGAGGAUGCUUGGGCCUGGGAUUUGGGAGCAAUCCUGUGACGGAGGUCCCUGCGGUUGCCCUUCUUAACGGCGAGGCUAUCACGGGAGAACAAGAAGUUACAUACACUUCCAAGCGAGACAAACCUGCCAAUUGGCAGAAGCCAGAACCAAUUAACGGCAAGGAAAACAAGUUCUCCAAGAUCUUUCUAGACCGGGGACACGUUUAAAACAUCCUCCUCAUCAGACUCCACACCAGAUCUGCUGAACUGGAAGCCUUGGUGGCUGGGCCCAGGCCUGGGGAUUUUAAAAUUCUCAAAGUGCUGGCACUGUGCAGCCACGAUUGUGACCUUUGCCCUCCAAGCUCAGGGUGUGGUUUCACUAUCCUGUGCACAAAGAGGUGUGAAAACCCAAAGAGCCAAAUUUUCACCACAUCACAUAUAUGAGAUGGAUUUUUCCACUUUCUGCAUAAAUGUUGCAUUGAAAGAACAGAAUCUGCUCAUGGUUUAUCAUCACCUCAACACAGUCUAAUAACAGGCUGUGGAGAAAAAUAUUCAUCUGGGUAAAAGUGACAGCACCAGGGGCUGGAGUCCAUGGCUCAAGUGUAUGGUGGAGCGACCGGGCUGUUCUGCUGUUGCCUCAGUAAAGCAAUCUUUCUCUUGCUGGGUUGAAAAAUAAAUUUUCUGUUUUCCACGUCCA
Molecule: long non-coding RNA, 739 nt
Filed under: Oryctolagus cuniculus (rabbit)
Lineage: Eukaryota; Metazoa; Chordata; Mammalia; Lagomorpha; Leporidae
Description: lncRNA (ENSOCUG00000033567.1)
Source: RNAcentral